RNAcentral lists this ribosomal RNA (253 nucleotides) under uncultured bacterium. RNAcentral's name for it is "partial 16S ribosomal RNA". It matches the Rfam family "Bacterial small subunit ribosomal RNA", at positions 524 to 776 of the family's 1533-position model. The record is from RNAcentral.
UACGGAGGGGGCUAGCGUUGUUCGGAAUUACUGGGCGUAAAGCGCGUGUAGGCGGCUUUGCAAGUCGGGUGUGAAAGCCCUCGGCUCAACCGAGGAAGUGCGCCCGAAACUGCAGAGCUUGAGUACCGGAGAGGAUGGCGGAAUUCCCCAAGUAGAGGUGAAAUUCGUAGAUAUGGGGAGGAACACCGGUGGCGAAGGCGGCCAUCUGGACGGAUACUGACGCUGAGACGCGAAAGCGUGGGGAGCAAACAGG